GCCAAGGUGGCAGAGCGGCUAUGCGUUCGACUGCAGAUCGAAUCCAUGAGGGUUCAAAUCCCUCCCUUGGCU
This 72-nucleotide transfer RNA is filed under the name Methanopyri archaeon. RNAcentral describes it as "tRNA-Cys". It matches the Rfam family "tRNA". From Rfam's summary of the family: Transfer RNA (tRNA) molecules are approximately 80 nucleotides in length. Their secondary structure includes four short double-helical elements and three loops (D, anti-codon, and T loops). Further hydrogen bonds mediate the characteristic L-shaped molecular structure. tRNAs have two regions of fundamental functional importance: the anti-codon, which is responsible for specific mRNA codon recognition, and the 3' end, to which the tRNAs corresponding amino acid is attached (by aminoacyl-tRNA synthetases). tRNAs cope with the degeneracy of the genetic code in two manners: having more than one tRNA (with a specific anti-codon) for a particular amino acid; and 'wobble' base-pairing, i.e. permitting non-standard base-pairing at the 3rd anti-codon position. Lineage: Archaea; Methanobacteriati; Methanobacteriota; Methanopyri. The record is from RNAcentral.